This 260-nucleotide ribosomal RNA is filed under the name Meloidogyne javanica (root-knot nematode). RNAcentral describes it as "5.8S ribosomal RNA". The stretch from base 61 to 214 matches the Rfam family "5.8S ribosomal RNA". Rfam says of the family: 5.8S ribosomal RNA (5.8S rRNA) is a component of the large subunit of the eukaryotic ribosome. The record is from RNAcentral. Lineage: Eukaryota; Metazoa; Nematoda; Chromadorea; Rhabditida; Meloidogynidae.
UUAAGUGAGGCCGCCAGCAACCUUUUUUUUCUCUACAUUUUAAAAAAAAAACUAAAAUUCUAUCCUUAUCGGUGGAUCACUAGGCUCGUGGAUCGAUGAAGAACGCAGCAAACUGCGAUAAUUAUUGCGAACUGCAGAAGUAUUGAGCACAAAAGUUUUGAACGCAAAUGGCCGCAUUGAGGUCAAACUCUUUGCAACGUCUGGUUCAGGGUCAUUUUCUCUUAUAGCGGAAGCUUUAAUUUCUAUAAUGAUGUUGUUGC